CGAGCGGCGAACGGGUGAGUAACGCGUGGAUUAUCUGCCCUGAGGUGGGGGAUAACCCGGGGAAACUCGGGCUAAUACCGCAUAUGACCGUGAGGUCAAAGGGGGGUCGCAAGAUCUCUCGCCAUAGGAGGAGUCCGCGUACGAUUAGCUAGUUGGUAGGGUAAUGGCCUACCAAGGCGACGAUCGUUAGCCGGCCUGAGAGGGUGAUCGGCCACACUGGAACUGAGACACGGUCCAG
This 238-nucleotide ribosomal RNA is filed under the name uncultured bacterium. Its description in RNAcentral is "partial 16S ribosomal RNA". It matches the Rfam family "Bacterial small subunit ribosomal RNA", at positions 92 to 334 of the family's 1533-position model. The record is from RNAcentral.